RNAcentral lists this ribosomal RNA (759 nucleotides) under uncultured bacterium. RNAcentral's name for it is "bacterial SSU rRNA". It matches the Rfam family "Bacterial small subunit ribosomal RNA", at positions 63 to 834 of the family's 1533-position model. The record is from RNAcentral.
UGAGCGGAGAUAUAUGGAGCUUGCUUUAUAUAACUUAGCAGCGAACGGGUGAGUAACACGUAGAUAAUCUAUCCUAUACUGGGGGAUAGCCCGAUGAAAGUUGGAUUAAUACCGCAUAUAGCUAUAUAGUUGCAUGAUUAUGUAGUGAAAGAUUUAUUGGUAUAGGAGGAGUCUGCGGCACAUUAGCUAGUAGGUGAGGUAAAGGCUUACCUAGGCGACGAUGUGUAGCCGGUCUGAGAGGAUGAACGGCCACAAUGGAACUGAGACACGGUCCAUACUCCUACGGGAGGCAGCAGUGGGGAAUAUUGCACAAUGGGGGAAACCCUGAUGCAGCAACGCCGCGUGAGUGAAGAAGGUUUUCGGAUUGUAAAGCUCUGUUAGCAGGGAAGAGGAAGGACGGUACCUGCAGAGGAAGCCACGGCUAACUACGUGCCAGCAGCCGCGGUAAUACGUAGGUGGCAAGCGUUGUUCGGAAUAACUGGGCGUAAAGGAUGCGUAGGCGGUUAAACAAGUUAUAUGUUAAAUAUAUAGGCUUAACCUGUAGAAAGCAUAUAAAACUGUUUAACUAGAGUGCAGGAGAGGUAAGUGGAAUUCCUAGUGUAGCGGUGAAAUGCGUAGAGAUUAGGAAGAACACCAGUGGCGAAGGCGACUUACUGGACUGUAACUGACGCUGAGGCAUGAGAGCAUGGGGAGCAAACAGGAUUAGAUACCCUGGUAGUCCAUGCUGUAAACGAUGGGUACUAGGGUGUGGGUUGUGAA